RNAcentral lists this ribosomal RNA (451 nucleotides) under uncultured bacterium. Its description in RNAcentral is "partial 16S ribosomal RNA". It matches the Rfam family "Bacterial small subunit ribosomal RNA", at positions 28 to 523 of the family's 1533-position model. The record is from RNAcentral.
GGCGAACGCUGGCGGCAGGCUUAACACAUGCAAGUCGAGCGGGCAUAGCAAUAUGUCAGCGGCAGACGGGUGAGUAACGCGUGGGAACGUACCUUUUGGUUCGGAACAACACAGGGAAACUUGUGCUAAUACCGGAUAAGCCCUUACGGGGAAAGAUUUAUCGCCGAAAGAUCGGCCCGCGUCUGAUUAGCUAGUUGGUGAGGUAAUGGCUCACCAAGGCGACGAUCAGUAGCUGGUCUGAGAGGAUGAUCAGCCACAUUGGGACUGAGACACGGCCCAAACUCCUGCGGGAGGCAGCAGUGGGGAAUAUUGAACAAUGGGCGCAAGCCUGAUCCAGCCAUGCCGCGUGAGUGAUGAAGGCCCUAGGGUUGUAAAGCUCUUUUGUGCGGGAAGAUAAUGACGGUACCGCAAGAAUAAGCCCCGGCUAACUUCGUGCCAGCCGCAGCGGUAA